GAUGCUGCGUCUCAACCGCUUCUAAGUGAGCGAAGGUGAUUAACACAUACAGCAUUAGAACUACAUGGUAACGAUAAAUUAAAAAGCAAAUGCUACACAUGAAAGUGGUAAGAUGAUGAUUUUAACCAACAAAUAGAAAUGUUUACAUUUGUAAAUUUUUGGUGGGGAUUGAAGCUUGAAUUAAGUAGUUACAUUAUUGUUAGAGUAUCUUGUACUAUAGAGGAGCUGAUAAGCAUUUAUGUAGAGCUAAUUUUAUGGUCAGGUGGGC
Molecule: long non-coding RNA, 268 nt
Filed under: Panax ginseng (ginseng)
Lineage: Eukaryota; Viridiplantae; Streptophyta; Magnoliopsida; Apiales; Araliaceae
Description: long non-coding RNA (PGIN_LNC010110)
Source: RNAcentral